ACGUCGGAGCCGAGGAGCACAGCUCGAGAAUUGCGUUCGUCCCUUUCCCACUUUACCCCCCCGCCCUUCCCCCCGUCGGGAUCCACCCACCCACCCCGGCCACCGAGAUGGCCACCACGGCCGCUGCGAAGCCGCCCGCGCCGCCGGUGGCGGCGGGCCCCGGGGACGUGUCCGAGGUGGAGCUCUCGGAGGCGGGGUCGCCGGACCUCGGCAGCGGCAGCGGGGGCAGCGGGCGGAGCGCGGCGGAGUACUCCGGGUGGGUGUACCACCUCGGCGUCAACUCCAUCGGACACGAGUACUGCCACCUCCGCUUCCUCGUCAUCCGCGGCAGGACCGUCGCCAUGUACAAGCGGGACCCGCACGACAACCCGGGACUCGAUCCUAUCCGAAAGGGUGCUGUUGGCCACACUCUUAUGGUGGAGGAGCUUGGUCGCCGGAGGGUCAAUCAUGGGGAUGUUUAUGUCCUAAGGUUGUACAAUCGGUUGGAUCAAACAAAGAAAGGAGAGAUAGCAUGUGCUUCUCCUGGUGAAGCCCGGAAAUGGAUUGAAGCAUUUGAACAAGCCAAACAACAGGCAGACCAUGACUUGAUGAGGGGUGUUAGCUGGAACAGAUUGCAGAAUGAAAAUGAGAUUAAUCUUGAUGGUCAUCGGCCUCGAGUUAGGAGAUAUGCACAAGGCUUGGGAAAACUUGUAAGAAUUGGUAAAGGGCCUGAAAUGCUCCUCCGUCAGUCUUCAGAUCUUCGUUGCCAGGAAAGGGUUAAUACAAACUUUGGAGGUGAUACUGGAGAUGCAUUUGAAGCGCAUGAAUGGAGAUAUGUUCGAACAUUUAAUGGUAUCAGAAUUUUUGAAGAUAUUGCAAACCCAAAGGGUGGAAAGGGAAUACUUCUUAAGUCUGUUGGGGUGGUUGGUGCAAACCCUGACACUGUGUUUGAAGUGGUUCUCAAUCUUGAUAAGCAUAAGAGAUACGAGUGGGAUAUGUUGACAGCUGAUUUGGAGUUGGUGGAAACAAUUGAUGGAUACUGUGAUGUGGUUUAUGGGACCUAUGAACCAAAAUAUUUAAAUUGGUGGAAAGGAAAGAAUGAUUUUGUUUUCUCAAGGCAAUGGUUUCGCGGACAAGACGGAGCAUAUACCAUUUUGCAGUGUCCCAUUGGUCACAACAAAAGACCUCCAAAGCAUGGUUACAAACGUGCAAAAAUCAACCCAUCAACAUGGGAGAUAAGGAGGUUGAACACAUCAGGAUCAAGUCCAAAGUGUGUUGUUACUCUUAUGUUGGAGAUUUCUCUGAGUUUUUGGGGCAGAUGGAAGCGAACACACUCUUCAAAUUUUGACAAAAGUAUCCCUUUUGCUUUGCUCAGCCAAGUAGCAGGUUUAAGAGAGUACUUUGCUGCCAAUCGAGCCUUGACAUCUGAUUUGCCUUCAACAGUAGUGAAGUCAAAAUCAUCUGAACCUUUGAUCAUACAGAGUGAACUUGAAGAUUCUGAACCUGGCGACGAAUUUUAUGAUGCACUUGCUAGAGGUGAAUCCUUUGAAGAUGAAGAUAGUGACGACGAUGAUGAUGAUGCAACUCCAAAGGCUGGAAAAGUGAAACUGAAGAAUGUAUCGUGGGCUAUUGCUGGUUUAGCUUUAAAGAAAACUAAAGCUUUGGUUGAGAAUAGUGAAUUGGUUACGAAUUCUAGUCCAGUAACUGCUGACCCCAGCCACUUCCAUGGCACCCUUCGUAGAGCGAAAAGUGAAAAUGACCCUAAUUCUUGGAGUGCACCUGGUGGGGAGAAGUUUAUGAUCAGAGGGAAGACUUACUUGACAGAUUACACCAAGGUGGUUGGUGGGGAUCCUCUUCUAAAGCUCAUUGCGGUUGAUUGGUUCAAGGUUGAUGAGCGCUUUGAUUCUGUUGCCUUGCAUCCCAAAAGCCUUGUGCAGUCAGAAGCUGCAAAGAAGAUUCCUUUCAUAUUGGUUGUAAAUUUGCAGGAUAAACAUGCAGGUUCCAGCGAAACCAAAUUAUAACUUGGUUAUGUACUACGCAGCAGAAAGACCAGUGAACAAGGAUUCUUUGUUGGGUAGGUUCAUUGAUGGAACUGAUGCGUUCCGAGAUGCCAGAUUUAAACUUAUUCCAAGCAUUGUUGAGGGCUAUUGGAUGGUAAAGCGUGCAGUUGGAACGAAAGCUUGCCUUUUGGGCAAAGCAGUAACGUGCAAUUAUUUUCGCCAAGAUAACUUUCUGGAGAUAGAUGUCGACAUUGGUUCAUCUUCUGUUGCACGGAGUAUUAUUGGUCUAGUAUUGGGAUAUGUCACAAGCAUUGUUGUUGAUCUUGCUAUUCUUAUUGAGGCAAAGGAAGAGGAAGAGCUGCCUGAGUACAUUCUGGGCACUGUCCGUCUGAACCGCGUGAAUCCCGACAGUGCUGUAUCAAUCUGAUUAAGUUAAUUCCAUCUCUUCUCGCAGUUUUCCUCUUCAGCCACCGAAGAGGUAGUUUUUCGCAGAACUGUUCAUUUUUAUUUCUCUUAUCCUUCACUUGAGAGAGGUAGGAUCACUAUGUGCUGAUCCCUGAUCGAGGGUUGGCAUAUGUACAGAGUACAGUAAAAGGUAUGAAUACAUGAUGCCAUUCGUAAAUAGAAGAAAUGAAAGGUUAUGUUAUAGUAA
RNA transcript from Panicum virgatum (switchgrass), 2631 nucleotides. It is a transcript of the gene named protein ENHANCED DISEASE RESISTANCE 2-like, with no coding region annotated. NCBI's taxonomy places the organism in Eukaryota, Viridiplantae, Streptophyta, Magnoliopsida, Poales, Poaceae. The transcript has 22 exons. The record is from RefSeq and is a predicted model, not a curated record.